AGUGAACGCUGGCGGUAGGCCUAACACAUGCAAGUCGAACGGCAGCACAGUAAGAGCUUGCUCUUACGGGUGGCGAGUGGCGGACGGGUGAGGAAUACAUCGGAAUCUACUUUUUCGUGGGGGAUAACGUAGGGAAACUUACGCUAAUACCGCAUACGACCUACGGGUGAAAGCAGGGGAUCUUCGGACCUUGCGCGAAUGAAUGAGCCGAUGUCGGAUUAGCUAGUUGGCGGGGUAAAGGCCCACCAAGGCGACGAUCCGUAGCUGGACUGAGAGGAUGAUCAGCAACACUGGAACUGAGACACGGUCCAGACUCCUACGGGAGGCAGCAGUGGGGAAUGUUGGACAAUGGGCGCAAGCCUGAACCAGCGACACCGCGUGGGUGAAGAAGGCCUUCGUGUUGUAAAGCCCUUUUAUUGGGAAAAAAAAGCAGCAGGUUAAUACCCCGCUGUUCUGACGGUACCCAAAGAAUAAGCACCGGCUAACUUCGUG
RNAcentral lists this ribosomal RNA (492 nucleotides) under uncultured bacterium. Its description in RNAcentral is "partial 16S ribosomal RNA". It matches the Rfam family "Bacterial small subunit ribosomal RNA", at positions 29 to 507 of the family's 1533-position model. The record is from RNAcentral.